Molecule: ribosomal RNA, 1372 nt
Filed under: uncultured bacterium
Lineage: Bacteria
Description: bacterial SSU rRNA
Rfam family: Bacterial small subunit ribosomal RNA
Source: RNAcentral
GAUGAACGCUGGCGGCGUGCCUAAUACAUGCAAGUCGAGCGAACGGACGAGAAGCUUGCUUCUCUGAUGUUAGCGGCGGACGGGUGAGUAACACGUGGAUAACCUACCUAUAAGACUGGGAUAACUUCGGGAAACCGGAGCUAAUACCGGAUAAUAUUUUGAACCGCAUGGUUCAAAAGUGAAAGACGGUCUUGCUGUCACUUAUAGAUGGAUCCGCGCUGCAUUAGCUAGUUGGUAAGGUAACGGCUUACCAAGGCAACGAUGCAUAGCCGACCUGAGAGGGUGAUCGGCCACACUGGAACUGAGACACGGUCCAGACUCCUACGGGAGGCAGCAGUAGGGAAUCUUCCGCAAUGGGCGAAAGCCUGACGGAGCAACGCCGCGUGAGUGAUGAAGGUCUUCGGAUCGUAAAACUCUGUUAUUAGGGAAGAACAUAUGUGUAAGUAACUGUGCACAUCUUGACGGUACCUAAUCAGAAAGCCACGGCUAACUACGUGCCAGCAGCCGCGGUAAUACGUAGGUGGCAAGCGUUAUCCGGAAUUAUUGGGCGUAAAGCGCGCGUAGGCGGUUUUUUAAGUCUGAUGUGAAAGCCCACGGCUCAACCGUGGAGGGUCAUUGGAAACUGGAAAACUUGAGUGCAGAAGAGGAAAGUGGAAUUCCAUGUGUAGCGGUGAAAUGCGCAGAGAUAUGGAGGAACACCAGUGGCGAAGGCGACUUUCUGGUCGGUAACUGACGCUGAUGUGCGAAAGCGUGGGGAUCAAACAGGAUUAGAUACCCUGGUAGUCCACGCCGUAAACGAUGAGUGCUAAGUGUUAGGGGGUUUCCGCCCCUUAGUGCUGCAGCUAACGCAUUAAGCACUCCGCCUGGGGAGUACGACCGCAAGGUUGAAACUCAAAGGAAUUGACGGGGACCCGCACAAGCGGUGGAGCAUGUGGUUUAAUUCGAAGCAACGCGAAGAACCUUACCAAAUCUUGACAUCCUUUGACAACUCUAGAGAUAGAGCCUUCCCCUUCGGGGGACAAAGUGACAGGUGGCGCAUGGUUGUCGUCAGCUCGUGUCGUGAGAUGUUGGGUUAAGUCCCGCAACGAGCGCAACCCUUAAGCUUAGUUGCCAUCAUUAAGUUGGGCACUCUAAGUUGACUGCCGGUGACAAACCGGAGGAAGGUGGGGAUGACGUCAAAUCAUCAUGCCCCUUAUGAUUUGGGCUACACACGUGCUACAAUGGACAAUACAAAGGGCAGCGAAACCGCGAGGUCAAGCAAAUCCCAUAAAGUUGUUCUCAGUUCGGAUUGUAGUCUGCAACUCGACUACAUGAAGCUGGAAUCGCUAGUAAUCGUAGAUCAGCAUGCUACGGUGAAUACGUUCCCGGGUCU